GGAGAGGUGGCAGAGUGGUUGAAUGUACCUGACUCGAAAUCAGGCUUACCGCAAGGUAACGGGGGUUCGAAUCCCCCCCUCUCCGCCA
RNAcentral lists this transfer RNA (88 nucleotides) under Burkholderiales bacterium. Its description in RNAcentral is "tRNA-Ser". It matches the Rfam family "tRNA". Rfam says of the family: Transfer RNA (tRNA) molecules are approximately 80 nucleotides in length. RNAcentral also lists the same sequence under 3 other names. Lineage: Bacteria; Pseudomonadati; Pseudomonadota; Betaproteobacteria; Burkholderiales. The record is from RNAcentral.